This 505-nucleotide ribosomal RNA is filed under the name uncultured bacterium. RNAcentral's name for it is "partial 16S ribosomal RNA". It matches the Rfam family "Bacterial small subunit ribosomal RNA", at positions 28 to 507 of the family's 1533-position model. The record is from RNAcentral.
GACGAACGCCGGCGGCGUGCCUAAUACAUGCAAGUAGAACGCACAGUUUAUACCGUAGCUUGCUACACCAUAGACUGUGAGUUGCGAACGGGUGAGUAACGCGUAGGUAACCUGCCUGGUAGCGGGGGAUAACUAUCGGAAACGAUAGCUAAUACCGCAUAAUAUUAAUUAUUGCAUGAUAAUUAAUUGAAAGGUGCAAUUGCACCACUACCAGAUGGACCUGCGUUGUAUUAGCUAGUAGGUGAGGUAACGGCUCACCUAGGCGACGAUACAUAGCCGACCUGAGAGGGUGAUCGGCCACACUGGGACUGAGACACGGCCCAGACUCCUACGGGAGGCAGCAGUAGGGAAUCUUCGGCAAUGGACGAAAGUCUGACCGAGCAACGCCGCGUGAGUGAAGAAGGUUUUCGGAUCGUAAAGCUCUGUUGUAAGAGAAGAACGGGUGUGAGAGUGGAAAGUUCACACUGUGACGGUAUCUUACCGGAAAGGGACGGCUAACUACGUG